GACGAACCGUACGAACGUUAUUCGGAAUCACUGGGCUUAAAGGGUGCGUAGGCUGCGCAGCAAGUUGGGUGUGAAAUCCCUCGGCUUAACCGAGGAACUGUGCCCAAAACUGCUGUGCUCGAGGGAGAUAGAGGUGAGCGGAACUUAGGGUGGAGCGGUGAAAUGCGUUGAUAUCCUAAGGAACACCGGUGGCGAAAGCGGCUCACUGGAUCUCUUCUGACGCUGAGGCACGAAAGCUAGGGUAGCGAACGGG
This 253-nucleotide ribosomal RNA is filed under the name uncultured bacterium. RNAcentral describes it as "partial 16S ribosomal RNA". It matches the Rfam family "Bacterial small subunit ribosomal RNA", at positions 524 to 776 of the family's 1533-position model. The record is from RNAcentral.